CUGAUUGUCAGCACCUGUGUGCUGCUGCUCCUCAGACCAAGCGUGCAACCAGCCAAAGGAGGUUGCUGGUUUUCUCCUUGCCUGGAGAGACUACGGGGGAUCUUUGGCCAUUGCUUCUGGGAGGAUGGCAGCGUAGAGGCUUUGUUGUGGCAAUCGCUGUUCCUCUUGUGUUCUUUUGUCUUUUCUUUUGGUUAUAUGUGAUUGUGUAUACAUAUGCUUGAGUUUUUCUUUCUGCUAGCCAGCAGUGGUGGUAAUUGCUGAUAGAUGGAUCAGCUUGUGUGAGUUACAUGAACUACUACUUUGUUUGUAACCCCCCCUGCUCUGUCUCAAAGUGGAUGAUUAGAAGCUGUGGUUGAUUUAGCUAACUGUGGGGAAGGCUUACUAAAUGUUGCAUGUGCUCUCAAACGGUUCCCCAUGAAAUACAUGUGAAAUAAAUUAUAUUUAUGUUAUC
This is a long non-coding RNA of Alosa alosa (allis shad), 451 nucleotides long. RefSeq lists it as uncharacterized. The record is from RefSeq and is a predicted model, not a curated record. The transcript is spliced from 2 exons. NCBI's taxonomy places the organism in Eukaryota, Metazoa, Chordata, Actinopteri, Clupeiformes, Clupeidae.